Molecule: ribosomal RNA, 1261 nt
Filed under: Vibrio alginolyticus
Lineage: Bacteria; Pseudomonadati; Pseudomonadota; Gammaproteobacteria; Vibrionales; Vibrionaceae
Description: bacterial SSU rRNA
Rfam family: Bacterial small subunit ribosomal RNA
Source: RNAcentral
GGCGUCGAGCGGCGGACGGGUGAGUAAUGCCUAGGAAAUUGCCCUGAUGUGGGGGAUAACCAUUGGAAACGAUGGCUAAUACCGCAUGAUGCCUACGGGCCAAAGAGGGGGACCUUCGGGCCUCUCGCGUCAGGAUAUGCCUAGGUGGGAUUAGCUAGUUGGUGAGGUAAGGGCUCACCAAGGCGACGAUCCCUAGCUGGUCUGAGAGGAUGAUCAGCCACACUGGAACUGAGACACGGUCCAGACUCCUACGGGAGGCAGCAGUGGGGAAUAUUGCACAAUGGGCGCAAGCCUGAUGCAGCCAUGCCGCGUGUGUGAAGAAGGCCUUCGGGUUGUAAAGCACUUUCAGUCGUGAGGAAGGUGGUGUAGUUAAUAGCUGCAUUAUUUGACGUUAGCGACAGAAGAAGCACCGGCUAACUCCGUGCCAGCAGCCGCGGUAAUACGGAGGGUGCGAGCGUUAAUCGGAAUUACUGGGCGUAAAGCGCAUGCAGGUGGUUUGUUAAGUCAGAUGUGAAAGCCCGGGGCUCAACCUCGGAAUAGCAUUUGAAACUGGCAGACUAGAGUACUGUAGAGGGGGGUAGAAUUUCAGGUGUAGCGGUGAAAUGCGUAGAGAUCUGAAGGAAUACCGGUGGCGAAGGCGGCCCCCUGGACAGAUACUGACACUCAGAUGCGAAAGCGUGGGGAGCAAACAGGAUUAGAUACCCUGGUAGUCCACGCCGUAAACGAUGUCUACUUGGAGGUUGUGGCCUUGAGCCGUGGCUUUCGGAGCUAACGCGUUAAGUAGACCGCCUGGGGAGUACGGUCGCAAGAUUAAAACUCAAAUGAAUUGACGGGGGCCCGCACAAGCGGUGGAGCAUGUGGUUUAAUUCGAUGCAACGCGAAGAACCUUACCUACUCUUGACAUCCAGAGAACUUUCCAGAGAUGGAUUGGUGCCUUCGGGAACUCUGAGACAGGUGCUGCAUGGCUGUCGUCAGCUCGUGUUGUGAAAUGUUGGGUUAAGUCCCGCAACGAGCGCAACCCUUAUCCUUGUUUGCCAGCGAGUAAUGUCGGGAACUCCAGGGAGACUGCCGGUGAUAAACCGGAGGAAGGUGGGGACGACGUCAAGUCAUCAUGGCCCUUACGAGUAGGGCUACACACGUGCUACAAUGGCGCAUACAGAGGGCGGCCAACUUGCGAAAGUGAGCGAAUCCCAAAAAGUGCGUCGUAGUCCGGAUUGGAGUCUGCAACUCGACUCCAUGAAGUCGGAAUCGCUAGUAAUCG